AGGAGAGGAACAGUCACCGAGAGGUUGGAGUCAUGGUUACACGUUUCUAGAAGACUCCUCGGUUUGGUGUUUUUCAUUUUCUUUUCUUUUGUCUUUGCUUUCUGCUUUCCCCAAAUGGUUUUAGGCCAUGCCAGGUCUCUCCUGAGACUCCCCAGUCCUCACUUGAGAGGAGAGGAAGCGAGGUCUCUCUGGGACUGGUUGCCUAGAGGCCGUGGGCAGGGUUCCUGGCAGGCUUGUGAAUCCAGGAGUCCAGCUGGAAGGGGCUCUUUGGCCCAUGUUUCCUCUCAUCCUGGUCCUCCUUCUCCCUCUUCUUUCUUGCCUCACCUUCUCCUGUUCUUACUUAUUCUUAUAAUCUGGGAUUUACAUCCCAGCCCUGAGGAGAUGUUUCUCAGCUCUCAUUUUUCAACUCUGGUCUCCUCUCCUGACUCUAGGCCUGUGGAAGUCUGAAAAUGCAAGGGAUAUCUAGCUUGAGAGGACAGUCCCCGUCUGUCUCCCUGUGUCCGGGAGCCGCCCCUUUCCCCAGUCCUGGGGCAGGGUAUUUCCCCACAGUUCUUUCUGCCCGUUUGUAUAGGCCUGUCUUGCGUCCUCUGGCAGAGGAUGGUCAUGGAGACAGCAGCAGCUCUAGUUAGCACUUGAGGUGGUUUGUGGGUGCAGUGGUAAUGAGGAGUGGUCAUUUUGUGCCAGGUGUGUGGUGUGACCAGGGUCCUCUGAACUUGGCAAUAGCCAACAUGAGAGACUGGGUGAGAGCCAAAGGUGAGAAGCAGAAAGACCAGUCACACCAUGCCAUGGGGCCAUGGGGUCAGGGGCGGACCAAUCACGUGUGAGCAUGCAAAUGAGCCAGGGCCUCUGGGGGUGGAGCCUCCCCCACAGGCUGUCCCUACAGGAUCCGGGGUCUCUCCACAAAUGUCCCGAGAUCGGACAUAAUAGAACUCUGCUUCCCUAGAACAUUUGUUAAGUUCUACUAUGGCUUGACAAAGAAAUACUCCGCAGCUAUAAAACUAUAUCUUUUUAUAGAAAUUACUCUUCUAAAGAGCAAGGCAAUGCACAGAAUUGUGUAUGGGCACCUCCAUUUGUGUUUCACCUCCGUUUGUGUUUUAUGGGGGAGGAUCAUAUAAAUCCAUAUUUUCAUAUCUUAUAGAUGCAUAUUCAGAAGACACGGGUAACACUGGUUGCCUCUGUGAAGAGGAACAAGGAGUUGCACAAUAGUCAGUGCUGGAGGCAAGAGGAAGAAAGAAAUGCGGUGUCCACCCCUUCCCCAGCCUGGUUGAAUAAGUCGCAAGUCAUUGCCUUGACUCCCAUGUCCAGACCAAGGCUGUGAGUGUUUGCAAGUGGAGUGUGCCUGUCUUAGUUGUGGCAUGAAGGAUCUUCAAUCUUAGCUGUAGCAUGUGGGAUCUAGUUCCCCAACCAGGGAUCCAACCAAGGGCCCCUGCACUGCAAGCAGGGGAAUGUUACCCACUGGACCAUCCGAGAAGUCCCAGAGCACUGCUAUAUUUAGGAACACUUACCACCUGGCAGGUUCAGUUACUGAAUAAGGUAAAAUCCCAGCCAAAAAUCAGUAGUAGUUUGUGUGGUGAUGAGAUACUAAUAAUUGUGUAGAAGAUCCUUGUAUACUUUAUACAAUGCUUGGUGGGUUUAGAAAAAGGGGAUACCCUUAACCAAAUAAAAAAGGUGUAUGAGGUCCUGCUGACAGCUUCUCUGAUGAAACUCAUCAGUGAGAAUCGGCUACCCUUUCCAGUAUUCUUGCCUGGAGAGUCCCAAGGACAGAGGAGCUUGGCAGACUACAGUCCAUAGGGUCGCGAAGAGUCAGACACAACUGAAUCAACAUAGCACAGCACAUAUCAGUGAGAAUGGGCUCGUUAAUUCUACAGCCUGUUUCCUUGUUUUAAGGGGAAACCCACCCCUCCAGCUGCUCCCAAAAAUGUUCUUUCUCAUUUAUCCAACCCUCUCCCUGAACUUUAUAUCUCUCCCUCUUGACUGGCUCUUGACUCACAUCUCGUUAAGUCUCUGCCAGGACCCUGACUCUCCAGGACAGGGUCUUCCCUCAGCUUGUGCUUCUCAGAUGCCUUCCUCCAAGGACAGCUCUCCUUUUCCCGCCUCCAGCUUUCCUUUCCCACCCAGUCCCUCCUUAUCCCGCUCUUCCAAAUGCUGAUGCAUAAUCACAGUCUCUUCCAGCCGCCACUUUCUGGACUUCUGGGUGGCAUUGGUCCUCUCUGAUUAGUCCCUACUGAAAACUCUCGCCUGUCAUGACCUCCUCCCAUUCUGACCCCUCUUGGGGCAUGCUGGCUGCUUCUCAGGCUCCUAUGAUGGCUCCUUUGCCUCUGCUGUGCCCACCAACCUGCUCAGCCCCACACAUAGGCAUCUUCUGGACUCUGGCCCUGCUCUCCUCUCUCCCCUCUGAGGAGUCCUCUCUGGGUGGUCUCAGGCUUCCUAUCUUUGUGCGUUAGUCACUCAGUUGUGUCCAACACUUUGCCACCCCAUAGAGUGUACCCUGCCAGGCUCUUCUGUCCAUGGAAUUCUCCAGGCAAGAAUACUGGAGUGGGUGGUCAUUUCUUUCUCUGGGGAAUCUUCCCAACUCAGGCAUUGAACCCAGGUCUCACACAUUGCAGGCAGAUUCUUUAUCAUCUGGGCCAAUAACUACCUUUUAUUGUUUGACACAAAUCUCUAUUUCUAGCCUAGAGGCUGUUCUCUGGCCCUUGAAACAUAUAGACCCAAUGGCCUUUUUUCUGGGCAUCUAUGCUGGGGCUUCCCACAGGAACCUCACCUCAAGCUUGUUGGAAUCCUCCUUCAACUUGCUGCUCUUCCUGUAGGUCCUUCUGGAGAAGGCCCCUCACCCCCAAGUCACCCAUUGGAGACCUGGCGUCCUUGUGUCGCCAAAGAGUCUGUAUCCUUUCUCACGCACCCAGCCAAUCAGACACCACGUCCUGCCGACACCCCCGGCCACAUUGCUCAGAUUCCUCACUUCUUCUCUGUCCUGGAGGUCACUGGCCUCAUCUGACCCUUUGCCUCCUGUCGCUGUCCUCGCUUCUGUCUUUGACACACUCGGUGCUCUCU
This is a long non-coding RNA of Bubalus bubalis (water buffalo), 3051 nucleotides long. RefSeq lists it as uncharacterized. The record is from RefSeq and is a predicted model, not a curated record. The transcript is spliced from 3 exons. NCBI's taxonomy places the organism in Eukaryota, Metazoa, Chordata, Mammalia, Artiodactyla, Bovidae.